This 377-nucleotide ribosomal RNA is filed under the name uncultured eukaryote. Its description in RNAcentral is "partial 18S ribosomal RNA". It matches the Rfam family "Eukaryotic small subunit ribosomal RNA", at positions 592 to 976 of the family's 1831-position model. The record is from RNAcentral.
CAAUAGCGUAUAUUUAAGUUGCUGCAGUUAAAAAGCUCGUAGUUGGAUUUCGGGUGGGAAUGGCCGGUCCGCCGUUUCGGUGUGCAGUUGCUACGCCCACCUUGCUGCCGGGGACGUGCUCUUGAGUUCACGCUCGGGACACGGAGUCGGCGAGGUUACUUUGAGUAAAUUAGAGUGUUCAAAGCAGGCCUACGCUCUGAAUACAUUAGCAUGGAAUAACACGAUAGGACUCUGGCCUAUCUUGUUGGUCUGUAGGACCGGAGUAAUGAUUAAGAGGGACAGUCGGGGGCAUUCGUAUUUCAUUGUCAGAGGUGAAAUUCUUGGAUUUAUGAAAGACGAACUACUGCGAAAGCAUUUGCCAAGGAUGUUUUCAUUAA